Molecule: long non-coding RNA, 358 nt
Filed under: Gossypium barbadense (sea-island cotton)
Lineage: Eukaryota; Viridiplantae; Streptophyta; Magnoliopsida; Malvales; Malvaceae
Description: long non-coding RNA (GBAR_LNC017694)
Source: RNAcentral
UUAGAUUCCUUAGUGAGUCUAUUUUCAAAAUAAAUUAAUGGUAACCUUAUAUGAAUUCUGUACAAUUAGAUAUUUGAUUUUUAGCGCCAAGAGGUCAGAUCUGUCGAGCUGUGAAACAGGGGAUACUUUAAUGAAUAAACUGUACUAAUGUGCUAAGUCAAAAAUUCUGAAAAUUUUAUGGUAAGUAGGAAUAUGAGUCUAGUUUCACGGAAAAUUUACGGAUUUAAAUUUUGAGUUUCGUAACUCAAGUUAUAAUUAAAUUAGUGACAGUUGCGCAGGUGGACAGUGUUGUUAUGAACAGUGAAUUUAAUUUUAAAAGCAAAUUUUUAUGCUCCGAAUCGGUAAGUUAAAUUGGAUG